UGUUGCUGUUAAAGGCUUUUCUUCUAGCCAUGGUUUGCUCUUGUGGCUUCUCACAAGUUAAUCUGACCCAGCCUCAACUGUCCAUCACCAGGGAAGAAAGUAAAACCAUACGAAUUGACUGCCGUGUUACUGUCCCAGAAGAUUUUGGCCAGGCUUAUAUCCACUGGUACAGACAGAGAUCGGGUGCAGCUCCGGAGCGGAUUCUGUACAUCUCAACGCAGACUGUCUUUGACAGAGACUCAGACAAGGGAAAGUUUAAUGCUGAAAAGAAGAAGAUCGGCCAGCCUACCUGUACCCUGAUCAUAUACAAAACAUCCCUCAAUGACACUGCUACAUAUUAUUGUGCCUACUGGGAUCGCACAGUGUUACAGAACAGUACGCCACCUGUACAAAAACCCACUCUGCCAUUCAAACCACAGGUUUUCCAGUGUAUGAGGCACUUUCAUUGCUCUCCCAUCAUGUCUUAG
Molecule: non-coding RNA, 467 nt
Organism: Pelodiscus sinensis (Chinese soft-shelled turtle)
Lineage: Eukaryota; Metazoa; Chordata; Testudines; Trionychidae
Source: the annotation of a RefSeq genome assembly